Molecule: ribosomal RNA, 468 nt
Filed under: uncultured bacterium
Lineage: Bacteria
Description: partial 16S ribosomal RNA
Rfam family: Bacterial small subunit ribosomal RNA
Source: RNAcentral
GACGAACGCUGGCGGCGUGCUUAACACAUGCGAGUCGAACGGAAAGACCCUGCUUUUGUGGGGUGCUCGAGUGGCGAACGGGUGAGUAACACGUGAGUAACCUGCCCUUGACUUUGGGAUAACUUCAGGAAACUGGGGCUAAUACCGGAUAGGAGCUCCUGCUGCAUGGUGGGGGUUGGAAAGUUUCGGCGGUUGGGGAUGGACUCGCGGCUUAUCAGCUUGUUGGUGGGGUAGUGGCUUACCAAGGCUUUGACGGGUAGCCGGCCUGAGAGGGUGACCGGCCACGUUGGGACUGAGAUACGGCCCAGACUCCUACGGGAGGCAGCAGUGGGGAAUAGUGCACAAUGGGCGGAAGCCUGAUGCAGCAACGCCGCGUGCGGGAUGACGGCCUUCGGGUUGUAAACCGCUUUCGCCUGUGACGAAGCGUGAGUGACGGUAAUGGGUAAAGAAGCACCGGCUAACUACGUG